AGCAGCCGCGGUAAUUCCAGCUCCAAUAGCGUAUAUUAAAGUUGUUGCAGUUAAAAAGCUCGUAGUUGAAUUUCGGGACCAUCAUGUUGGUCGUGCCUCGGUACGUACUGGCAUUGUUGGUUUCUCCCUUCUGACGAACCAUGAUGUCAUUUAUUUGGUGUCGUGGGAAAUCAGGACUGUUACUUUGAAAAAUUGAGUGUUUAAAGCAGGCUCACGCUUGAAUACGUUAGCAUGGAAUAAUGAAAUAGGACGUUUGAUUCUAUUUUGUUGGUUUCUAGGAUCGACGUAAUGAUUAAUAGGGAUAGUUGGGGGCAUUAGUAUUCAAUUGUCAGAGGUGAAAUUCUUGGAUUUAUUGAAGACUAACUACUGCGAAAGCAUUUGCCAAGGAUGUUUUCAUUAAUCAAGAACGAAAGUUAGGGGAUCGAAGACGAUCAGAUACCGUCGUAGUCUUAACCAUAAACUAUGCCGACUAGGGAUCGGAUGAUGUUAAUUUUUUAAUGUACUCAUUCGGCGCCUUAAC
RNAcentral lists this unclassified non-coding RNA (520 nucleotides) under uncultured Glomus. RNAcentral describes it as "SSU rRNA". It matches the Rfam family "Eukaryotic small subunit ribosomal RNA", at positions 569 to 1092 of the family's 1831-position model. Lineage: Eukaryota; Fungi; Glomeromycota; Glomeromycetes; Glomerales; Glomeraceae. The record is from RNAcentral.